AUACGGAGGAUGCAAGCGUUAUCCGGAUUUAUUGGGUUUAAAGGGUGCGUAGGCGGUUUGCUAAGCGGGAGGUGAAAUGCCGGCGCUCAACGUCGGAAGUGCCUCCCGAACUGGUGGACUGGAAUGACUCUGCCGUGGGAGGAAUGUGUAGUGUAGCGGUGAAAUGCUUAGAGAUUACACAGAACACCGAUUGCGAAGGCAUCUCACGAAGGGUUGAUUGACGCUGAGGCACGAAAGCGUGGGGAUCAAACAGGAUUAGAUACCCUGGUAGUCCACGCAGUAAACGAUGAUGGCUAACCGCUGGUUUAUUCGGAUCAGUGGCCAAGCGAAAGCGAUAAGCCAUCCACCUGGGGAGUACGACCGCAAGGUUGAA
Molecule: ribosomal RNA, 373 nt
Filed under: uncultured bacterium
Lineage: Bacteria
Description: partial 16S ribosomal RNA
Rfam family: Bacterial small subunit ribosomal RNA
Source: RNAcentral